GGUUAAGCGACUAAGCGUACACGGUGGAUGCCCUGGCAGUCAGAGGCGAUGAAGGGCGUGCUAAUCUGCGAUAAGCGCCGGUAAGGUGAUAUGAACCGUUAUAACCGGCGAUACCCGAAUGGGGAAACCCAGUGUGACUCGUCACACUAUCAUUAACUGAAUCCAUAGGUUAAUGAGGCGAACCGGGGGAACUGAAACAUCUAAGUACCCCGAGGAAAAGAAAUCAACCGAGAUUCCCCCAGUAGCGGCGAGCGAACGGGGAGGAGCCCAGAGCCUGAAUCAGCAUGUGUGUUAGUGGAAGCGUCUGGAAAGACGCGCGAUACAGGGUGACAGCCCCGUACACAAAAGCGUAUGUGCUGUGAGCUCGAUGAGUAGGGCGGGACACGUGGUAUCCUGUCUGAAUAUGGGGGGACCAUCCUCCAAGGCUAAAUACUCCUGACUGACCGAUAGUGAACCAGUACCGUGAGGGAAAGGCGAAAAGAACCCCGGCGAGGGGAGUGAAAAAGAACCUGAAACCGUGUACGUACAAGCAGUGGGAGCACAGGUUUACCUGUGUGACUGCGUACCUUUUGUAUAAUGGGUCAGCGACUUAUAUUCUGUAGCAAGGUUAACCGAAUAGGGGAGCCGGAGGGAAACCGAGUCUUAAUUGGGCGUUAAGUUGCAGGGUAUAGACCCGAAACCCGGUGAUCUAGCCAUGGGCAGGUUGAAGGUUGGGUAACACUAACUGGAGGACCGAACCGACUAAUGUUGAAAAAUUAGCGGAUGACCUGUGGCUGGGGGUGAAAGGCCAAUCAAACCGGGAGAUAGCUGGUUCUCCC
This 818-nucleotide ribosomal RNA is filed under the name Salmonella enterica. RNAcentral describes it as "partial 23S ribosomal RNA". It matches the Rfam family "Bacterial large subunit ribosomal RNA", at positions 1 to 859 of the family's 2925-position model. The record is from RNAcentral. Lineage: Bacteria; Pseudomonadati; Pseudomonadota; Gammaproteobacteria; Enterobacterales; Enterobacteriaceae.